This 105-nucleotide microRNA precursor is filed under the name Canis lupus familiaris (dog). RNAcentral describes it as "mir-8834 microRNA precursor family". It matches the Rfam family "mir-8834 microRNA precursor family". RNAcentral also lists the same sequence under 1 other name. The record is from Rfam by way of RNAcentral. Lineage: Eukaryota; Metazoa; Chordata; Mammalia; Carnivora; Canidae.
AGGAGGAACAACCGCAGUGGCGGGGCCAGCUCUGCAGCCCUGGAGUCAGCCCCCGCAGUAGCUCCGGAGCUCUCGGUCUGCAGGGCCUGGAGGCUCCGGGGCGGG